GAACGGGUGAGUAACACGUGGGUGAUCUGCCCUGCACUUCGGGAUAAGCUUGGGAAACUGGGUCUAAUACCGGAUAGGACCGCACUUUAGUGUGUGUGGUGGAAAGUUUUUUCGGUGUAGGAUGAGCUCGCGGCCUAUCAGCUUGUUGGUGGGGUAAUGGCCUACCAAGGCGGCGACGGGUAGCCGGCCUGAGAGGGUGUACGGCCACAUUGGGACUGAGAUACGGCCCAG
Molecule: ribosomal RNA, 231 nt
Filed under: uncultured Actinomycetales bacterium
Lineage: Bacteria; Bacillati; Actinomycetota; Actinomycetes; Actinomycetales
Description: partial 16S ribosomal RNA
Rfam family: Bacterial small subunit ribosomal RNA
Source: RNAcentral